AAUUAUUUAGUUUAAUUUAAAACAAAUGUUUUGAAAACAUUAAAUAAGUUAAUAUAACUUAAUAAUUA
RNAcentral lists this transfer RNA (68 nucleotides) under Pagurus maculosus. Its description in RNAcentral is "tRNA-Ser". The record is from RNAcentral. Lineage: Eukaryota; Metazoa; Arthropoda; Malacostraca; Decapoda; Paguridae.